UCCACGGGGCAUGCUCAGUACGGCGAGUGAAGCGGCAAGAGCUCAAAUUUGAAAGCUGGCUCCUUCGGGGUCCGCAUUGUAAUUUGCAGAGGAUGCUUCGGGUGCGGCCCCUGUCUAAGUGCCCUGGAACGGGCCGUCAGAGAGGGUGAGAAUCCCGUCUGGGAUGGGGUGUCCGCGCCCGUGUGAAGCUCCUUCGACGAGUCGAGUUGUUUGGGAAUGCAGCUCUAAAUGGGUGGUAAAUUUCAUCUAAAGCUAAAUACUGGCCGGAGACCGAUAGCGCACAAGUAGAGUGAUCGAAAGAUGAAAAGCACUUUGAAAAGAGAGUUAAAAAGCACGUGAAAUUGUUGAAAGGGAAGCGCUUGCGACCAGACUCGCCUCCAGGGUUCAGCCGGCAUUCGUGCCGGUGUACUUCCCUGGGGGCGGGCCAGCGUCGGUUUGGGCGGCCGGUCAAAGGCUCCCGGAAUGUAGUGCCCUCCGGGGCACCUUAUAGCCGGGAGUGCAAUGCGGCCAGCCUGGACCGAGGAACGCGCUUCGGCACGGACGCUGGCAUAAUGGUCGUAAACGACCCGUCUUGAACAACGGACCAAAAAGGC
RNAcentral lists this ribosomal RNA (593 nucleotides) under Aspergillus flavus. Its description in RNAcentral is "LSU rRNA". It matches the Rfam family "Eukaryotic large subunit ribosomal RNA", at positions 65 to 675 of the family's 3401-position model. Lineage: Eukaryota; Fungi; Ascomycota; Eurotiomycetes; Eurotiales; Aspergillaceae. The record is from RNAcentral.